Molecule: long non-coding RNA, 984 nt
Organism: Pteropus alecto (black flying fox)
Lineage: Eukaryota; Metazoa; Chordata; Mammalia; Chiroptera; Pteropodidae
Exons: 5
Source: RefSeq, a predicted model, not a curated record
GCGUCCCCACGCCCUUUCUCCCGGUCGCCGCGUUCUUGGUGUGUCCUCCUGCGGGGAAGCCGGCCUGUUGCCAUCUAAGCCCAUCCUCUACCAGACCCACCGCCCUCAGCCUAGCCGCCACCUGUCCCGCACUCGCCGGGGCUGCCUCCCAAAGCUGCGAGAUGUUGAGUACUGCACAGAGGAGCCGGGCCUCCUGGCCUGCUGGGGUCGCGGUCCGAAAUGGCGUGUCGGCUUGCAUUUGCAGGGAGAGUGGACGGAGCCCAUGAGAGCCGCGCCCUUCUCCCGCCUUGGCCCGCACAGCCCUGCGCUCUGGUGUGACGGUGAGUAACGCGGGCAGCUGCCCGGUGCACACCAGUCCUGGGCCUGAAAUGGCUUAAUUUUGAAGAGGCCGCGUGGUGGUGUCAGCCAGACUUUGAACUGGAUCUGCCUGUGACCGCUACUUGCUGGGUAAUUUGGCUGUGCCUGAUGAAGAUUGCAGGAUGACAAGUUGCUUUCUGGUCGGUGAGGACUCGGGUCAGGACGUGCUGGAACACAACCACCUCAGAACCUGGUUGACCCCAAAUUUCCUGGCAGUUGUCUGAUACUGAAGAACCUGAAGAUAACCAGAUUGUGGCUCUCCUUCUGCUUUAGAGUAAGAUCUGUUACCAGUAAGCAGUCUUCCUCUAGUGUUGGAUCUACAUUGUUGGAUAUGUUGAAGCUGUAUCACAACUUCCUUGGAGCUUCAGGAGAGAAGCUGUGUGGGACGAGGCAAGCUAAAAGACAACAGGUUUGGAGGAGAGACUAUUCCAAGAGCAACUAAGUAACAAGAAAUCCCCUGACUCAUCCUCCCUGCCCUAGGGCCUGCUGGUUCUUGAAACAGGCCGGAAGCAAGCAUGCAAGACAUUUUCUUGGUAUUUGGGGCUGGUCUCCUAUACAUGUUGCCCUGUGGCAGUGGAGGCUUCUGUUGUGCUAAAUUCCCUUAAUAAAACUUGAUAUAAUGCUGGA